Molecule: ribosomal RNA, 422 nt
Filed under: uncultured bacterium
Lineage: Bacteria
Description: bacterial SSU rRNA
Rfam family: Archaeal small subunit ribosomal RNA
Source: RNAcentral
UUACGGGAGGCAGCAGUCGCGCAAACUUUGCAAUACACGAAAGUGUGACAGGGCUAUCCCGAGUGCCGUCCGCUGAGGAUGGCUUUUACCCAGUCUAGAAAGCUGGGGGAAUAAGGAGAGGGCAAGUCUGGUGUCAGCCGCCGCGGUAAUACCAGCUCUCCGAGUGGUGUGGAUGUUUAUUGGGCCUAAAGCAUCCGUAGCUGGCCAAGUUAGUCCCUUGUUAAACCCACCGAAUUAAUCGUUGGAUUGCGGGGGAUACUGCUCGGCUAGGGGACGAGAGAGGCAGACGGUAUUUUCGGGGUAGGGGUGAAAUCCUAUAAUCCCGGGAAGACCACCAGUGGCGAAGGCUGUCUGCUAGAACGCGCCCGACGGUGAGGGAUGAAAGCUGGGGGAGCGAACCGGAUUAGAUACCCUUGUAGUCC